UUAACCAAUGUUAAGAAUAAAAGUGUC
RNAcentral lists this small RNA (27 nucleotides) under Bombyx mori (domestic silkworm). RNAcentral's name for it is "ovarian small RNA-9275". Lineage: Eukaryota; Metazoa; Arthropoda; Insecta; Lepidoptera; Bombycidae. The record is from RNAcentral.